AUGAAUCGCUUCUCCCCCCAGGAUAUGGGUUUAUCAAGGAAUGUCGGCACAUGUUUUUCAACUUCAUCCUUUGGAAGAGCAUUUGGCUCCCCGCCUCUGAGCAACUGGCUUCCAUUCUCACAUCUCAACAGCAGCGCUGAGAGUGCCACCUGGGAACCCCUGAGCCACCGCUCUUUGGGGAAGCUGCCUUUCCUUCUGGUGUUCUCCAUUCUGUCGCGGCUUUGCCGGUUGCCUCUCUUUCUCCAGUCCUGGCUUGGUAGUGAGCCACCCUGA
This 273-nucleotide long non-coding RNA is filed under the name Mustela putorius furo (domestic ferret). RNAcentral describes it as "lncRNA (ENSMPUG00000030143.1)". The record is from RNAcentral. Lineage: Eukaryota; Metazoa; Chordata; Mammalia; Carnivora; Mustelidae.